GACCCCUGGCUUAGUGGAAGCGCAUCUGCUUUGCACGCAGAAGGUCCCAGGUUCCAUCUUGGGCAUCUCCA
This 71-nucleotide transfer RNA is filed under the name Sphaerodactylus townsendi. RNAcentral describes it as "tRNA-Ala". Lineage: Eukaryota; Metazoa; Chordata; Lepidosauria; Squamata; Sphaerodactylidae. The record is from RNAcentral.